CCUACGGGAGGCUGCAGUGGGGAAUAUUGGGCAAUGGGCGAAAGCCUGACCCAGCAAAGCCGCGUGAAGGAAGAAGGCUUUAGGGUUGUAAACUUCUUUUGAUAGGGAAGAGAAGAAGACGGUACCUGUGGAAUAAGCAACGGCUAACUACGUGCCAGCAGCCGAGGUAAUACGUAGUGGGCAAGCUUUGUCCGGAUUUACUGGGGGUAAAGGGCGGGUAGCAGGGCUGACAAGUAAGAUGUGAAAUCCGGGGGCUCAACCCCCGAACUGCAUUUGAAACUGUUGGUCUUGAGUAUCGGAGAGGCAGGCGGAAUUCCUGGUGUAGCGGUGAAAUGCGUAGAUAUUAGGAGGAACACCAGUGGCGAAGGCGGCCUGCUGGACGACAACUGACGGUGAGGCGCGAAAGCGUGGGGAGCAAACAGGAUUAGAUACCCGAGUAGUC
Molecule: ribosomal RNA, 442 nt
Filed under: uncultured bacterium
Lineage: Bacteria
Description: partial 16S ribosomal RNA
Rfam family: Bacterial small subunit ribosomal RNA
Source: RNAcentral